CGAAGCCUGAUCCAGCCAUGCCGCGUGUGUGAAGAAGGCCUUUUGGUUGUAAAGCACUUCCUUUGGGGAGGAAAAGCUAAUAAUUAAUACCUAUUAGCCCUGCCUUUACCCACAGAAUAAGCACCGGCUAACUCUGUGCCAGCAGCCGCGGUAAUACAGAGGGUGCAAGCGUUAAUCGGAAUUACUGGGCGUAAAGCGAGCGUAGGUGGUUACUUAAGUCAGAUGUGAAAGCCCCGGGCUUAACUUGGGAACUGCAUCUGAUACUGGGUAACUAGAGUAGGUGAGAGGGAAGUAGAAUUCCAGUGGUAGCGGUGAAAUGCGUAGAGAUCUGGAGGAAUACCGAUGGCGAAGGCAGCUUCCUGGCAUCAUACUGACACUGAGGUUCGAAAGCGUGGGUAGCAAACAGGAUUAGAUACCCUGGUAGUCCACGCCGUAAACGAUGUCUACCAGUCGUUGGGUCUUUUAAAGACUUAGUGACGCAGUUAACGCAAUAAGUAGACCGCCUGGGGAGUACGGCCGCAAGGUUAAAACUCAAAUGAAUUGACGGGGGCCCGCACAAGCGGUGGAGCAUGUGGUUUAAUUCGAUGCAACGCGAAGAACCUUACCUGGUCUUGACAUAGUAGGAAUCCUGCAGAGAUGCGGGAGUGCCUUCGGGAAUCUACAUACAGGUGCUGCAUGAUUGUCGUCAGUUCGUGCCGUGAGAUGUUGGGUUAA
RNAcentral lists this ribosomal RNA (714 nucleotides) under Moraxella sp. 81. Its description in RNAcentral is "bacterial SSU rRNA". It matches the Rfam family "Bacterial small subunit ribosomal RNA", at positions 377 to 1083 of the family's 1533-position model. The record is from RNAcentral. Lineage: Bacteria; Pseudomonadati; Pseudomonadota; Gammaproteobacteria; Moraxellales; Moraxellaceae.